UCCUGCCGGACCUGACUGCUAUCGGAUUGAUACUAAGCCAUGCGAGUCUUUGUAGUAAUACAAGGCAGACGGCUCAGUAACACGUAGUCAACCUACCCUAUGGACAAGAAUAAUCUCGGGAAACUGGGCAUAAUUCUUGAUAGAUCAUAAUGCCUGGAAUGGUUUAUGGUUAAAAUGAUUCGUCGCCAUAGGAUGGGACUGCGGCCUAUCAGCUUGUUGGUGAGGUAAUGGCCCACCAAGGCGAUUACAGGUACGGGCUCUGAGAGGAGAAGCCCGGAGAUGGGUACUGAGACACGGACCCAGGCCCUAUGGGGCGCAGCAGGCGAGAAAACUUUGCAAUGUGCGAAAGCACGACAAGGUUAAUCCGAGUGAUUUCUGCUAAAGAAAUCUUUUGCCAGUCAUAAAACCACUGGUGAAUAAGGGGUGGGCAAGUUCUGGUGUCAGCCGCCGCGGUAAAACCAGCACCUCAAGUGGUCAGGAUGAUUAUUGGGCCUAAAGCAUCCGUAGCCGGCUUUGUUAGUUUUCGGUUAAAUCCAUGUGCUCAACGCAUGGGCUGCCGAAAAUACUGCAUAGCUAGGGAGUGGGAGAGGUAGACGGUACUCAGUAGGAAGGGGUAAAAUCCUUUGAUCUAUUGAUGACCACCUGUGGCGAAGGCGGUCUACCAGAACACGUUCGACGGUGAGGGAUGAAAGCUGGGGGAGCAAACCGGAUUAGAUACCCGGGUAGUCCCAGCUGUAAACGAUGCAGACUCGAUGAUGCACUGGCAUAAUAGCCAGUGCAGUGUCGCAGGGAAGCCGUUAAGUCUGCCGCCUGGGAAGUACGUACGCAAGUAUGAAACUUAAAGGAAUUGGCGGGGGAGCACCACAAGGGGUGAAGCCUGCGGUCAAU
Molecule: ribosomal RNA, 888 nt
Filed under: uncultured marine group I thaumarchaeote
Lineage: Archaea; Thermoproteati; Nitrososphaerota
Description: SSU rRNA
Rfam family: Archaeal small subunit ribosomal RNA
Source: RNAcentral